GGGAAACUCCAGAACCCGACAGGGUGGUUUGUCACAACACAAUCCUUUUUGUUGGCUCUAUCACACACUGCUGUCACUGUGAAAUUGUCUUAACAUUUCUAUUUCUUACAAAAGCAACUUCACCUCUGUGACUUGUCAGCGGUUUGAAUCAUCUGUUUCUAACCCACAAUAUCUAUUUUAGGUCAUGCAAAGCAAUGUGUGUGUGCGUGGGACUUCCUGUGGUGACGCGAUCCAGUACGCUGCUAUGAUUGGCUGGUCACUUCCCAACUUCCUCAAUAACAAGAAAACACAGGCAUCAGCUGUGAGUGCAGUGCAGUCAUCAAACGAUGCAGUAGGGGUUUGGAACAUUCCCUUCUCUACAAAUGUAUGAAUUCCAUCAGCAGAAGGCAGAGGAAUGUGAACAGGAAGUGUAGGGACCCGCUGACACCUGGAAGCACUCAAACAUUUUGUUACCAGGAGUGAAGUAUGGGCAGUGAGUACCAGCCACUAUCUUCAGCAGAGCCUUGCACAACUUUCUUCAUCGAGACGUCAGAGUGCUUUAUAUGCCGGGAUGUUGAACUUCAAGCCAGUGGCCCACUGAGGAAUUUUUGUGACUGCAAGAAUUCACUUUCUCAUCACGCAUGUCUAUCUACAUGGAUCCAGAAGGGGUGUGGGAGCAAAGACAGGCUGCGAUGCGUCAUCUGCAAAGCCAAGUACCAGCUCCAGAGGAGAUCUCCGUGGCUGUCGCUUGCCUUGCAGUGGCGGACGUGGCUCGUUCUGAUCACUGUCCUGGUUCUGCUGUGUCUGGUGCCUUACGCCGUUCACUGCAUGAUGACCGUCUUCACCGAUCCACCUCCACCCACCACCUUUAAAGUGGCUGCAGCCACUUUUGGCCUUUUGAUGGAGUUCCUGUUAAUCAAAUGUGCGUGGAGCUACAUCGGCGUUCAGUACCAGCAGGCUGAGCGGAGCUCCUUCACUGUCCGGCACCGCGGUUCGGAGGAGGGUGCGUCGGGCCGGAGCUGCUGGUACCGGUGUGGGUCCCUUUCAGCAGAGGCUGGUCGCGCUCCAGCAGCGGACUCACCCAUUGGAGAGAGGAAAGAGAGUGAGUUCAAAUCUGCAUGUCUUACCCUGUAGGCUUUCCUGAACUAUUAACGGGAGGGGUUUACAGAUUACUGUGUGAGAGCAAAGCCUUUGGGUAUUAGACGUGCCUAACAGCCAUUAAAGAUAUCACAGUUUCCGUUUAUCAGCAUGGCAUUUAUGAAAUCUUACACUUUAAAACCUAUUUUCGAAGUGUCAGAUAUUCUUGUUUUCCCCUAUGUGGAACCCUCACACUCUCACUUUAUUCAGUGGAUAUAUACGCGUGUAUUGCAAAUUGAUGAUGGGGAGGAGAGCACACGCAGCUUCCAUGAGUGUUCAGGCUCCGAGUGGGGGAAAAAAAGCCUAAAAUCACUGUCUUUCCUUAAUGAUGCCCACACAGAGACAAUGGGGCGCCGCUCUGAUUAGUGUCACCUGUCCUUGCGCAUCUCAUCAGCUCCAUUAUGGUUCUAUCUCCCAUGCUUCUCCUGCUAAUUGAAUAGCCUGUGAAGUGGUGACGAGGACGAGGGUGAGAGCGCCGUCUGUCCCACUGCUGCCUCAGAAAUGAGCGUGAAGCGUCUCGGUACAACACUAGAUCUUAAGCCAUUAACAGCAAACUGUAAGAAGCUCUUGUUAUAUCACUAUCAUGUCAAUUAUCUUUAAAUCUAAAAGGGUGACUACGUGUGACUGUAUAAUAUUCAUGCAUUAAAAAAGAUACUGUUCAAUGUCCUAGUGCACAUACUGUAUCUUUGGUGUCAGACAGCAGGUUCACAUUGCGGACAAUCGUGAGAAGCUGAUGUUUUCCAGCUGUGUAAUGAUUCAGUAGUUGCUCAUGGCAGCUAAACUUUGGAAAUGGCACAGUUAAGGUUAUCAGCGACACCGGCUUCAUGUGGACUCAGGUUUUAUGUUUUUCUCAAUUAAAGUGAACAACUUUUUUUUCCAAAGUCUUCUGACUUUUAUUCGAACUGUCCCAUAAUGCAGCAGUCUUCAUCUUUUGCUAGACUCCUUGCUACGUAAGGCCUCUUGGUCACACACCUGUCAAAUUGUGACUGCACCUUGAAUGGCAGCUGUCGAUGAUGAUGGCAUUGAGGGCCAUUUGUGACUCUGUACAACAACAGUUCCUCUUUAAUGCAUGAAUGUACUGUGAAUAAACAAGCCUGUAAAUGUCUGUGAAACUUUCUU
This is a long non-coding RNA of Betta splendens (Siamese fighting fish), 2235 nucleotides long. Ensembl lists it as uncharacterized. The record is from Ensembl. Lineage: Eukaryota; Metazoa; Chordata; Actinopteri; Anabantiformes; Osphronemidae.